UGGAGAGGAUUAGGGAGUAAAAGGCAGCUUGUACUGAAGUGCAGGGAAAGUAUAAAUAUUGAUAUAUAUUGGCACAGUGCCUGGCCUUAAUGCUUAAAAUCCUUUGGAGAGCUGUCUGCAUAUUUACUGUAUUAAUGAUCAAAUGCAAGGCUGUUUUGGGAAAGGUCUUCCAUUUGGAAGUCAGUAGCUGAGACUGUCUUGCCUAUGAAAAAGAGGGAGAAUUUUCGUUAGAGGAUGUAGGAUUCUGGCUGGUAAUAGUCUUAAUUCAAGGUAUUUUUAGAGAAUUGAUUUAAUACAAGCAGAACAAAUGGCCAGAAGUGUAAUGAGAGACAAGUUGAAAUUAGAAAGUAGAUGUGCAUUUUGAAUGUAUUGUCAUAGCAACUGAUUCAAUUCUCCCUCUCUUGCUGUUCUGGGGACCUUUUAAAUGUGCUUUGGCUAAAUAAAAAGUAUUAGACUAUUUCAGAGCCAAAAGGUCAGUUCUUGUUGUCUCUUUUGCACUUUAAUUCUAGUACACUGAUACUUGCUAACCACUUAUAACCCUAGAUGCAGAAUGAGAACUUGGGUUAUUAACAAUAAAGAAGUAAACAGCAGAAAGACUUGACCUUUCUUUUGAAUUGCCCUACAGUGUUAAAAAAUACCAAACAAACCUCCUUCCCCAAAGAAACACCCCCAAAAUACCCCAAGAACUCACCAAACAGAAAAUCACCGACAACCAAAAAGCAGAAGUAACAAACAUGAACAGCAAGUGGAGGAAGAGUUUGAAAGCGGGCUGGACAGAAGCAGAAGUGUUACUGCCCACUCUUAGGCCACUGUGCUGAUUAAAUGGGUGUUGUUAGGUUUAGAUCAGUAGUUCGUUGUUGUUGGGUUUUUCGGUGGUGUUGAUUUUUUUGUUGUCGUUGUGGGGGAUUGUUUGUUUGUUUGUUUUUAUUUUUGUUUUUUUUUCUGUAUUAAAAAUCUGGCUCAGUUACUCUCUAGUUCUGGUGUGUUUUCUUUUCCAGGUGGUUGGUGUUUCUGCAGUGUUUGGCACAGGACUGGGGGAGAUUUUUACCCAGCUUUCUAAAGCUGUAGAUGAAUAGGAGAGACUGAAUGCACUCCCUUUAUUCACCUUUUCAGAGAGUAUCGUCCAGAAUACGAGCGCCUGAGAAAAACACUGAAUCCACAGGUAAGUCUUUGUCUACGGGAGAAAGCUCAAAAUAAACAAAAGAGAGAGCAGCUGGAACACUUGUGGAAGGACAUGGGCAGCGUGUGUGUGCAGGGCAGCACAGUGGCAGGUACCUCCCCAGGAAGAUAAAGUUUACUGCAGAAGUUUUCUGAAGAGUUUGCCUUGUGAAGUAGUACAGUGCUUCUUUGUCCUCACAGCAGAAGUGUGAAAGCAGCUCCAUGUUAGAGGAGCGGGGCUUUAGUUCCUGUGGGGUUGGUCACACUCAGCUCUUCCUGUGUCAGUCACAGGUUUGGAAGAAACCCUGCUGUGUAGCUAAAGCAGUGGACCUACUAGAAAUAAUGAAAUACUUUAGAAAAGGUGAAACAGUCAGAUCAGAAUAUGAGAAAGCUCUGCUGUUGGCUGCACUGUUCCUUAGAUGAGGCGAGUAGGUGCUGAUGGAGUCUGUCCUGUGUCUGGGAUCCACAAGCAGCUUUCUGUCCCCUUAGAGCAGGUGUUCAUUGCUGGGUUUCUGUGCAGAUAGAAACCUUACCUUUAGCAAGCUGGUUGGUGUACAGCUGUUUCUGUUCCCUUCAAGGACCCGAUGCUUCUGCAAUGGGUCCCUCUGAGCUAAUACUAACACGAGGAACUCUCGAUGAAGAGCAAGAAGAGAGGGAGAGUGACGCUGAUGGCAUUGACCAUGAAGGUAAGGGAAUGAGGUCUAAAAGCUGCCUCUCAAGAAAUCCCCUCUAUAUUUCAUGUCCUGGAUGGACUGUAAGGAGAGCCUAGAAAACAAGCAAACAUUCAGUCACCUGACGUGUCAGAAUGUGUAGCAGAAGCUCAGCAGGGAUAUCACUCUGUAACCUUUGUGAAAGUUCAAUUGUAAAUUUUCUAUUCAAGUAAUUAAUAGGUGUAUAACACACAUAAAACAGAGAACUCGUUAGGCUUGGGGCAUGCAGUGACCUCUGAACCUGAUUGAUGCACAGAUGUGUCCAUCAUCUUUUUGGCCUUACAGUUUCUGCCCCUGGCUCUCUUCUCUUUUCCUGUGACUGUGGUCUUGGAGCAAUCUUCUAAGUUGUUACAGUGUGAUUUUUCUCUUCUAUAGCUCACAGACUUAAUCUUCAUUCUUUCCCUGUUCCACUGAUGGGUAGGAUCACUUAUUUCCUUUGCCCUGUAAUGUAGCUGAAGAUGGAAUAGACUUUCUAUGUUGCUUUGGCUA
This is a long non-coding RNA of Pipra filicauda (Wire-tailed manakin), 2357 nucleotides long. RefSeq lists it as uncharacterized. NCBI's taxonomy places the organism in Eukaryota, Metazoa, Chordata, Aves, Passeriformes, Pipridae. The transcript has 3 exons. The record is from RefSeq and is a predicted model, not a curated record.